This 644-nucleotide ribosomal RNA is filed under the name uncultured bacterium. Its description in RNAcentral is "bacterial SSU rRNA". It matches the Rfam family "Bacterial small subunit ribosomal RNA", at positions 57 to 694 of the family's 1533-position model. The record is from RNAcentral.
GCAGUCGAGGGGCAGCGCAGUGUAGCAAUACAUGGGCGGCGACCGGCAAACGGGUGCGGAACACGUACGCAACCUUCCUUCAAGUGGGGAAUAGCUUUCGGAAACGAAAAUUAAUACCCCGUAAUACGGUUGAGAUGGCAUCAUCUUAUCGUUAUAGAUCCGUCGCUUGAAGAUGGGCGUGCGCCUGAUUAGGUAGUUGGCGGGGUAAUGGCCCACCAAGCCUACGAUCAGUAACUGGUGUGAGAGCACGACCAGUCACACGGGCACUGAGACACGGGCCCGACUCCUACGGGAGGCAGCAGUAAGGAAUAUUGGUCAAUGGACGCAAGUCUGAACCAGCCAUGCCGCGUGGAGGAUGAAGGUCCUCUGGAUUGUAAACUUCUUUUAUCGGCGAAGAAACCCUCACAUUCUUGUGGGGUUGACGGUACCCGAUGAAUAAGCACCGGCUAACUCCGUGCCAGCAGCCGCGGUAAUACGGAGGGUGCAAGCGUUAUCCGGAUUCACUGGGUUUAAAGGGAGCGUAGGUGGGCUGGUAAGUCAGUGGUGAAAUCUCCGGGCUUAACUCGGAAACUGCCGUUGAUACUAUCAGUCUUGAAUAUUGUGGAGGUAAGCGGAAUAUGUCUUGUAGCGGUGAAAUGCUUAGA